UUAAAAAUUUUGAGCUUAAAUCUCAUCAAAUUCCUUAAGAUAUAGCUCAAAAUACAACCACUAGUGAAUCGAGUCACUUGCAAGCAUUUAUUUCAAUCUCCAAUAUCUCUUUUUUUUCAACUUAGAAUCUAUAAAAAAAUAUAUUAAAAUUAUAGCCAAAAAAGUGCUCUCUUCAAUUCCAAUUGCCAAUGCUUUAUUACUUUCUAUACACACACGUUAUGUCCAAAAGAAUGAUUGUAGAUACAAAAUCAAUAUGUUAACUUUGAAUAUCCAUAUCUCUUUCAUAUAAACUCCAAAUCAUACAAAAUUUGUACCAAAAUCAUAGCCAAAAAUCUAAAAUUAUUGAUCAUAGCCUCUAAAACUCAAAUGACUCCA
Molecule: long non-coding RNA, 375 nt
Filed under: Physcomitrium patens
Lineage: Eukaryota; Viridiplantae; Streptophyta; Bryopsida; Funariales; Funariaceae
Description: long non-coding RNA (PPAT_LNC012956)
Source: RNAcentral